Brachypodium distachyon (stiff brome) is the source of this 969-nucleotide long non-coding RNA. RefSeq lists it as uncharacterized. The record is from RefSeq and is a predicted model, not a curated record. The transcript is spliced from 2 exons. Lineage: Eukaryota; Viridiplantae; Streptophyta; Magnoliopsida; Poales; Poaceae.
GUGUCGUGGCUUCUCAUACUCGACGCGGCGCACACGUUCCAUCGAUCAGAUCGGCCCGUGGGCCACAAGGCAGGAGGAGGACCACGCCUACUUCCCACGCCCGUGGGCCACAAGGCAGGAGUAGGUACGGCCACGUACCUCUCCGUACGGCGGCUUGCAUGCUACUCGUUUCCGAUCGUUGUCCACGUCUCGUACUCACGUGUACAACGCAUUAACGCACCUGGUCUGGUCCAGCCAGCCUGAAAACAUGGUCCUGGUCCUACUGUCACGUUGAUAUAUACCGUACUUAUAACGUGUCAACCUCGCCGAAUAUUUUGCCAUCUAGCAUCAUUAUCAGUCGACACCGGCCGUAUCGGACGAAGCACCACCGUGUGCGGUCGCGUUGGAGCGUCCGAUCCACAACAGUAGCAGCGGGAAUUAAUUCGAGAUCCAGACAGCGACGGAUCGAUCGAGCAUCAAGGAGGAGUACUAGUAGGAGCAUUUUGUCUUGGCUUUUGCGACAAGGGCCGGCCAUCGGACUCGGCUGUGGGCGUCCGUCCGUCCCCGGCUCGUGAGUCGCUCUCUCUCUCUCUCUGUUUCUCUGUCAGGGAAUUGAUGAACCGGCCGGGGUGAUGCGUGCGUGCACCGUGAAAGGAAACUCGCCCAUGUUCGAUUCGAUCCAGCCAGUGGGUAUGCGUGUGGAGGGGUGUGGAUGAUACUAAUGCAGGGAGCGGCUGUUAUGUAUACUCUGCAUAUGUACCGUUCUCUACCGUGUACAACUAGUAUGCUGGUGGACUAGCCUCGUGGUUCAAAACACUAGUAUUACGCUGGUUUGUUGGUGCAUUAUCGGAAUUCGGUGGUUUAGUGUUGCCCGUGUGCAACACUGGAUUCGCUCUGAAGGCGUGGCGUGGAGGCGAGCGGGGCUGUUUCGUGGGGCCAACUUUUCUUUUCCUAGUGUACGGAGCAGUAGAGCAUGCACCUUUUGGGUUA